UACGUAGGGUGCAAGCGUUGUCCGGAAUUAUUGGGCAUAAAGAGCUCGUAGGCGGUUUGUCGCGUCUGCUGUGAAAACUCGGGGCUUAACUCCGGGCCUGCAGUGGGUACGGGCAGACUAGAGUGCGGUAGGGGAGACUGGAAUUCCUGGCGUAGCGGUGAAAUGCGCAGAUAUCAGGAGGAACACCGGUGGCGAAGGCGGGUCUCUGGGCCGUAACUGACGCUGAGGAGCGAAAGCGUGGGGAGCGAACAGG
RNAcentral lists this ribosomal RNA (253 nucleotides) under uncultured bacterium. Its description in RNAcentral is "partial 16S ribosomal RNA". It matches the Rfam family "Bacterial small subunit ribosomal RNA", at positions 524 to 776 of the family's 1533-position model. The record is from RNAcentral.